UACGUAGGUGGCAAGCGUUGUCCGGAUUUACUGGGCGUAAAGAGCGCGCAGGCGGUCGUUCAAGUCGCGUGUGAAAGCCCCCGGCUCAACUGGGGAGGGUCACGCGAUACUGAUCGACUCGAAGGCAGGAGAGGGUAGUGGAAUUCCCGGUGUAGUGGUGAAAUACGUAGAUAUCGGGAGGAACACCAGUGGCGAAGGCGACUACCUGGCCUGUUUCUUGACGCUGAGGCGCGAAAGCUAGGGGAGCAAACGGG
RNAcentral lists this ribosomal RNA (254 nucleotides) under uncultured bacterium. RNAcentral's name for it is "partial 16S ribosomal RNA". It matches the Rfam family "Bacterial small subunit ribosomal RNA", at positions 524 to 776 of the family's 1533-position model. The record is from RNAcentral.